RNAcentral lists this long non-coding RNA (3148 nucleotides) under Macaca fascicularis (crab-eating macaque). Its description in RNAcentral is "lncRNA (ENSMFAG00000051352.1)". Lineage: Eukaryota; Metazoa; Chordata; Mammalia; Primates; Cercopithecidae. The record is from RNAcentral.
UUUUUUUUUUUUUUUUUUUUGAGACAAGGUCUUGCUCUGUUGGCCAGGCUGGAGUGCAAAGGCACAAUCACGGCUCACUGCAGCCUCAACCUCCUGAACUCAAGCAAUCUUCCCACCUCAACCCCCAAGUAGCUGGGACUAUAGGUGUUGCUACCACACCCAGCUAAUUUUUCUAUUUUUAGUAGAGACUGGGUUUCACCAUGUUGGCCAGGCUGUUCUGGAACUCCUGGCCUUAAGUGAUCCACCUGCCUCAUGAGAAUGAUACUCUAUUUAAUUUCGGUAAAGUCAUUUGUAAUACUCUUAAUAAAUAAGUACUCACUAAAUAUUGGUUAAAUUGUUCACUACUUUUUAUUUCCUUCACCCAUAAGUUGGAGGAAUUAAGCACUUGUAGGGUAUUUUUAUGGCACUUUCUUUUCCAUUGCAAGUUUUUCAUAUUUAAUAAUAAAACUUUUCAUUUAUAAAGUGCUUCACAAUGUUCAAAGCAGUUUUGCCUACAUUAUGUACUAGAAGUCAUCAUGAAAUUUCUUAUUCUCAUAAUCUCAGAAACUUUACAGUCAUUUCAAUUAUCCCUAUUAAAGAAGACAAAACAAAAAUUCAGCUAACAUAAAGUUAUCUAUAUACUGUAUACUAUAAAAAUAUCAGUGACACUUACUUGUUCUUUUUUUAAUGCCUCCUUCCUAAUUCUUACCUUAAACACUUGGAGACAACUCCCAAUUUAUAAUUUACAUCAAGCUAAAAUAAAAUAUUUUAAAAACACCAUGUCCAAAAUUAUAAUAAUUUAACAAAUAACAGUUCUAUAAUGAAUAUUAACUAUAAUAUUUGUAGCGGUGUUAGUGAAUAAUAUAUGAGUACUUCUCAUAAAAUUUAGAGCUAGUAGUUUCCAUGAGGAUUGCUUGAAACUUGGAAUACAUUUUCCAGGCUGGAAUGCAGUGGCACAAUCAUGGCUCACUGCAGCCUCAAACUCCUAGGCUCAAGCAAUCCUCCACCUCAGCCUCCCAAGUUGCUGGGAUUACACGUGUUAGCCACCAUACCCGGCCAUCUUGUUUUCAAAGAUUGUACAGAUAUUUUGGUUCUUCAAAGAAGUAGCUGGGCAAAUAUGGGGGGAAAAAUUAGGCCUUAACCAUUUUCUAUGUAACAUGGUAAAAAAAUUUUUUUUAAAUUUCUAAUAGGCAAAAUGAUUAAAAGUGCAAAAUCAUCCUUACUUCAUGUAAUUCCCUCCUUUUUUUUUUCAACUCCAUUCACCAAAAGAGUAACAGCUCUGAAAAUCUAUAAAACCCAAUCUAGAUGAUUUUAAUAUCAUUAAAGCAUUUUGGGAAAAUAAUCCCUUUCACUGCUAUAUUUAGGUGCAAUGAGCCAAUGAUACAAGUAUACAGUUGGAUAUUAAUACAGCUAGAAAAUAGUGAGUACUACUACAAACAGUCACCAGAUUUAUAACUUUGUUUUGUGUGUACACAUUUAGUUUUAUUGUAACAAAGCAACUUGUCCACUUUUAACCUUUAAAAACUGAACCUCAUCUUUCCAGUGAAACAAAAAGAAAAUUUAAAAAUAAACAGGAAAAAAAUUACAAUAGAGAAUGUCAAUUUCAAAUAAGAUCCUACAGGCUUUGCUGAUUCUCCCAUUGAGUGGCAGGGCUCAAGUCAUCAUUAGGAGAGAAUUUAUUUUAAAAAGUGUCAUCUUAAACUGCAAAGGAUGUCUGUCAAAUAUGACAAUUAAACAUGCAAAAGGAGAAGCCAUGUUGUCAAAAUGCCCACUUAACCCACCCGAACAUCUCAAACCCACCCUGUGCUGACCUUCUGUAAACCCAUUUUUUUAAGGUUUUGUUUUCUGUUUUUGUUUUUUUUAAACAAGAGAAAGUAGACAGAUACAUGUUGGUAAAUGCCAAAUGUCCAUAUUCACACAGAGACACAGUGUACUCUCUGAGCUGAAUAUACAGAGAAAGGAGGAAAAAAGCUAGAAUUCUGGGCACUGCCACACAGGGGCCUCACACCUUCCAGUUUCCAGCAGAGACAAGGGAGCAGGUUUUUCUUUUUUUCGACAGAGCUCAGCGGUGUUGAUUCCACACAGUUUUUGUUCAGACAGGAAGGGAUAAAAAUGAACAGAAAGGGGUAGAGACUCUUUUCCCACUGUAUUCUGCUCUAGGUAUUUCCCCCAAAUAAGGUGAGAACCAUGAUACAGAGAAAAGAGAUCUCAAGAACAGGGCGACUGAGCACAAGAGGAAAACAAACAACAAACAAAAAACAAAACAAACCCUGCAACUUGCUCCCAGGGACUGGAGAAAAUUUUUAAAAAGGAAGGUCGGAAUCCAUCAGUGUUCUAUUAGUCAUCUUCUCCUUCAUCCUUCUCUCCUUCCUCCCCUUCAUCAUCAUCUUCAUCUUCUUCAUUUUCCUCUUCAUCCCCUUCUAAUCAGUAUCUUCUAAUCCGUCCUCCUCUUCAUCAUCAUCAUCUUCUUCUCCUUCUUCAUCAUCCACAUCGGGAACCAAGUAGUACUGUAAUGGGCUUGGCCAAAUAUCAUCUUUGAUGACCUCUCCUAACUCAUCAGCACCUGCAUCAGAAUGGUCAGUAAACCAGGUAAAGAAGCUCCCUGGUUCCUCAUGCUGCUUCUUCCUGCCGGCUUUAUUCUGCGUUUGACUUGAACGCUUUGUCAAAUCCUUUCCAGAUUUCCAUUUGAUUGCAGUGGACUUUAAAGAUGGAUCACCACUCUCAUUCAGAUGAAAUUCUUUGGACAGAACUUUAUUUUCAAAGUAAGGAUUUUGAUCAAAAUAAAAAUCUAUUCCGUAACCUGAUUAAAUAUAUUCAAAUUCUGUCACUUCAACUCUGCUCAAAUAAUGCAGUGCCGCUUCCUCCUCCUCCCCAAGCAGUGCAGACACCUGUGGAUGGUUGAUAAAUGUUGUUAUCCAAAAAUGUGGGAUUUUGGUGAUCAAUUCUGAUCUCUUCUGAAAAAAAUGGUUAGCGGAGUUUGUUACAUUUCUGUUCUGCUUUCAAAAUCUCCUCACUGGCUUGUUCAUUAAGUCUGUUUGUUUCAUUUUGGAUUUCAUCAAUGUGUUCAAUUGCUUCCUGCUGUUUUCCUGAGGUCUCGUCAGCCCUGUAGUGGCUGGAGUUGAGCUCCUUUUUACUGACUUUGGCAGCGGAUGCCGAUCUGGCGCGGUUG